Molecule: ribosomal RNA, 468 nt
Filed under: uncultured bacterium
Lineage: Bacteria
Description: partial 16S ribosomal RNA
Rfam family: Bacterial small subunit ribosomal RNA
Source: RNAcentral
GACGAACGCUGGCGGCGUGCUUAACACAUGCAAGUCGAACGGAAAGGCCCUGCUUUUGUGGGGUGCUCGAGUGGCGAACGGGUGAGUAACACGUGAGUAACCUGCCCUUGACUUUGGGAUAACUUCAGGAAACUGGGGCUAAUACCGGAUAGGAGCUCCUGCUGCAUGGUGGGGGUUGGAAAGUUUCGGCGGUUGGGGAUGGACUCGCGGCUUAUCAGCUUGUUGGUGGGGUAGUGGCUUACCAAGGCUUUGACGGGUAGCCGGCCUGAGAGGGUGACCGGCCACAUUGGGACUGGGAUACGGCCCAGACUCCUACGGGAGGCAGCGGUGGGGAAUAUUGCACACUGGGCGGAAGCCUGAUGCAGCAACGCCGCGUGCGGGAUGACGGCCUUCGGGUUGUAAACCGCUUUCGCCUGUGACGAAGCGUGAGUGACGGUAAUGGGUAAAGAAGCACCGGCUAACUACGUG